Molecule: non-coding RNA, 810 nt
Organism: Vicugna pacos (alpaca)
Lineage: Eukaryota; Metazoa; Chordata; Mammalia; Artiodactyla; Camelidae
Source: RefSeq, a predicted model, not a curated record
AAGAGUCUGCGUAACUGAGGACAGGCACUGUCUUCUCCACAUACACCCAGCGCCAAGAACAGUGCCAUGUACAUGGCCAACAAUGACGACCAAAGGCCGGCCAGCAGACGGGCGGAUGCGGAACCUGUGCAUCGACUUCUCAAGAUUCCACAAAUAAGCGAUAUACGCUACGUGUCUUGCUCUGUCCGACCUCCUUCACUUAGUAGGAGCAUCUCUAGCGGGAGCAAGCUGACUAGAGAAAUGCCCUUUUGUCUAUUCAGUUAAUGAAACUGUCUGCUCAUGAGUUAGAACCCCAGCUCCUCGAAGGAAGGGUCCUGUUCGUCAUCUUUGUCCCUGAUACACACUCCCCAGGGACCCCCAAUGCACGUCUGUGGGUGAGCUUGGUGCUCUGGACUCCGAAGCAAACAGCUGGGGCUGUGCCACCAGCCCAUCUUCAGAGGGGCCGCCCAAGGGCCGCGCUGCUGUCCAGGCGGUUCCUGCAUCAGGGAGGCCUCGAGGGCCGGCGUCUGCAGCUGGAACGGCCUUCUCAUCCCUGCGGUUCCCCGGGUCACAGCUUGGCCCGGCUCCAGUGUAGCUGUCGAGGGCGCGCCUGGGCAGCUAGGCCAGCGUGAGUUAAAAUCCCAGCUCUGCUCCCAGCCUUGGGAAACCCACGCAGCCUCUGAGCUCAGCACCCUCAUCUGCGAAGUGGGGCGACUGUGUCACCCCCACGAGGUGGUGUGAAGUGACUCCUGGAUAUGAGGGCGAAUGUGCCUGAGCUGAGAAUUGAGGACUCACUGGCCUUUGCUUCAGGGAAGAUCUCAUUUGGAGGCU